GUAGUCCACGCCGUAAACGAUGGUCACUAGAUGUGGCGGGUGUCGACUCCCGCCGUGUCGUAGCUAACGCGUUAAGUGACCCGCCUGGGGAGUACGGCCGCAAGGCUAAAACUCAAAGGAAUUGACGGGGACCCGCACAAGCAGCGGAGCAUGUGGAUUAAUUCGACGCAACGCGAAGAACCUUACCUGGGCUUGACAUACUGCUGACCGGCAUGGAAACAUGCCUUUCCUUCGGGACAGCAAUACAGGUGGUGCAUGGCUGUCGUCAGCUCGUGUCGUGAGAUGUUGGGUUGAGUCCCGCAACGAGCGCAACCCCCGUCCUAUGUUGCCAGCAUUCAGUUGGGGACUCAUAGGAGACUGCCGGUGACAAACCGGA
RNAcentral lists this ribosomal RNA (376 nucleotides) under uncultured bacterium. RNAcentral describes it as "bacterial SSU rRNA". It matches the Rfam family "Bacterial small subunit ribosomal RNA", at positions 790 to 1167 of the family's 1533-position model. The record is from RNAcentral.